GUCUCUGAUAGCUCAAAUGGUAGAUCCUCGGCGCGUAACUAAAAGAUCCGGGUUCGAAUCCCGGUCUGGACU
Molecule: transfer RNA, 72 nt
Filed under: Cotesia glomerata
Lineage: Eukaryota; Metazoa; Arthropoda; Insecta; Hymenoptera; Braconidae
Description: tRNA-Ser
Source: RNAcentral